UAGGGAAUAUUGGUCAAUGGGCGGAAGCCUGAACCAGCCAUGCCGCGUGCAGGAAGACGGCCUUCUGGGUUGUAAACUGCUUUUAUCAGGGAACAAAUAGGCCAUGCGUGGCAAGUUGAGUGUACCUGAAGAAUAAGCACCGGCUAACUCCGUGCCAGCAGCCGCGGUAAUACGGAGGGUGCAAGCGUUGUCCGGAUUUAUUGGGUUUAAAGGGUACGUAGGCGGAUUUUUAAGUCCGUGGUGAAAGCCUACAGCUUAACUGUAGAACUGCCAUGGAUACUGGAAAUCUUGAACUCAGUUGAGGUAAGCGGAAUUUAUGAUGUAGCGGUGAAAUGCAUAGAUAUCAUAAAGAACACCUAUUGCGAAGGCAGCUUGCUGGACUUGAAUUGACGCUGAGGUACGAAAGCGUGGGGAGCGAACAGGAUUAGAUACCCGCGUAGUCC
RNAcentral lists this ribosomal RNA (443 nucleotides) under uncultured prokaryote. Its description in RNAcentral is "bacterial SSU rRNA". It matches the Rfam family "Bacterial small subunit ribosomal RNA", at positions 355 to 796 of the family's 1533-position model. The record is from RNAcentral.